This 253-nucleotide ribosomal RNA is filed under the name uncultured bacterium. RNAcentral's name for it is "partial 16S ribosomal RNA". It matches the Rfam family "Bacterial small subunit ribosomal RNA", at positions 524 to 776 of the family's 1533-position model. The record is from RNAcentral.
UACGUAGGUGGCAAGCGUUAUCCGGAUUUAUUGGGCGUAAAGGGAACGCAGGCGGCCUUUUAAGUCUGAUGUGAAAGCCUUCGGCUUAACCGGAGUAGUGCAUUGGAAACUGGGAGACUUGAGUGCAGAAGAGGAGAGUGGAACUCCAUGUGUAGCGGUGAAAUGCGUAGAUAUAUGGAAGAACACCAGUGGCGAAAGCGGCUCUCUGGUCUGUAACUGACGCUGAGGUUCGAAAGCGUGGGUAGCAAACGGG